GCUUCUCAACCUCACAGGCCUCAAGUGUCAAUACACAAAUAGGUCAAUCACAACCUAAGUCUUUGCAUUUCUCCUCUCUCCACCUUUCACUCCAUCAAGCACUGCCCCUCCUAUGAAUGCCUCCUUUCACCCCACCACUGGCUGCAUCCUCCAUCUGCACCCUAUCCUUAUGGCCUCUGACACCCUAUCCUUAUGGCCUCUGACACCCUAUCCUUAUGGCCUCUGA
Molecule: unclassified non-coding RNA, 226 nt
Filed under: Hevea brasiliensis (rubber tree)
Lineage: Eukaryota; Viridiplantae; Streptophyta; Magnoliopsida; Malpighiales; Euphorbiaceae
Source: RNAcentral